CGUGCUUAACACAUGCAAGUCGAACGGGUGUUAUUUCGGUAAACACCAAGUGGCGAACGGGUGAGUAACGCGUAAGCAAUCUACCUUCAAGAUGGGGACAACACUUCGAAAGGGGUGCUAAUACCGAAUGAAUGUAAGAGUAUCGCAUGAGACACUUACUAAAGGAGGCCUCUGACAUAAGCUUCCGCUUGAAGAUGAGCUUGCGUCUGAUUAGCUAGUUGGUGAGGGUAAAGGCCCACCAAGGCGACGAUCAGUAGCCGGUCUGAGAGGAUGAACGGCCACAUUGGGACUGAGACACGGCCCAGACUCCUACGGGAGGCAGCAGUGGGAAUCUUCCGCAAUGGGCGAAAGCCUGACGGAGCAACGCCGCGUGAACGAUGAAGGUCUUAGGAUCGUAAAGUUCUGUUGUUAGGGACGAAGGGUAAGAAUCAUAAUAAGGUUUUUAUUUGACGGUACCUAACGAGGAAGCCACGGCUAACUACGUG
Molecule: ribosomal RNA, 485 nt
Filed under: uncultured bacterium
Lineage: Bacteria
Description: bacterial SSU rRNA
Rfam family: Bacterial small subunit ribosomal RNA
Source: RNAcentral